Long non-coding RNA from Homo sapiens (human), 2053 nucleotides. NCBI's taxonomy places the organism in Eukaryota, Metazoa, Chordata, Mammalia, Primates, Hominidae. The record is from Ensembl.
AUGCUGAGGAAUGCAGCUGGGAGGCUGCCAGCAAAUGCCAAGGGGCCUCUGGGUCCCAGGCUAGCACCCCACAGCACCCCACAGGGGCAGGCAGGCCUCCAGAGGCUCUCCUGGAAUCCAAAAAGCCACUUCCUCGCUAAGCCUCCGGUUUCCCGUCUGCAAAGUGGCGAUGAUCAUUCCUGCUGCCCUUCCUGACUGAGCUGUCUGAGGACCCAGGGUUCCAGGGGCAGGUCUCCCAGGAUGAGAUUUUGCUUUCUCUUGAAACCCAUGCGUUCCUAGAAUCUGUUCUGUGUUUCAUUGUAGGAGGCUCUGGCCAGGCCUGGGUGUGGCAGGAUAGAAAUGAAAGUUGUCCUGGCAACACACAAGAUUUCAUCAACAUUUCCAUCCCCAGCAGCUCCUGGGCCAAGCCUCAUCUUGCCCAGUGUGGCCUGUCAAGAUGACGGCCUGGAAGAGAAGCCAGACUGGGCAGCCAGGCCUCUGCCCCUCCCCUUGCCUGGUGGCACAGCCAGCACUGGCUCACUGGGAAAGCUCACAACUCCUCACAGCGAUCUGGUAUCUUGAGCGUCAGUUUCUGGCCGAAACUGGGGGCUCCUGACUGAACUCCCUCCCACCUAGAAAACCUUCUGUGCAGUCUGAUUGCUCCAACACCCACAGAGCAGGAUUCAGGUAUCCCGGAGACCUUGGGAGGUCCCCAUCCAGAGGUCUGCUGUCCUGCCAGGCUUGGGGCAGCAGGGACUGGGACCCCACUCAGACCUCUCUGGGGCAAAUGUUUUGGUUCUCACAACAGCCCUAGUGAAAUCAAUCCUAGAUACUCCCAUUUGGUCCCACCAAGGCCAUUUAAUUUCUCUGUAAAGGGUAAGAUGACACAAAAGAGCCAACUAUGGAAACGGUGAGGUGGGAGUCUGAACCGAUUUAGCUGUUCUCAGGGCGCACAGGGUGUUGACGGUGGUUUUCAUCUGCCACCUGCCUCCUUGAGACCCAGCUGGCCUGAGUGUGCACGAAAUGGGACCUUCUCCUUGGGUCCACCAGGCUGGGAGGCACCCCUAGGUACCCGGCUCCUCAUCACAGCGGCAGCCCUCUCGGUUCCACAUCUGGUUCUCCUGACGAAGCCGCUGGUUUUCGGUCCGGAGCCUCUGGACCUCGGCAGCCAGCUCCUCCACCUGGCGGCAGGACUGCUGGCCGGUGCACGCCUGCAGCUGCUGCAGCCUCCUAGUCUCCUCCUCCGCCUGCGACAGCCGCUUCUCCAGCUCCAGGUAGUCUCGCACCAGCUCCUGCUUGCUGCGGCCCUGCAGGCUCUCGGUGUGGAAGCGUUCGUAAGUCUCAGAGAAGUCCUUCCGCUGGAACUCACCGUGCGCUCGGCCCCGCCCAUCACUGUCCCCGGCCUCACUCUCCCCACUGGAACCUGGGUGGGAGAUCCCAUGGGGCACAUCCAAGUUGGGCUCCUCCGGGUCCCUGUCAUUCAUCAGGAACUGGGUGGUGUUGUAGGGGGCCACGGGCUGGCCUUUGGCGAACAUCUCUUCGCGGACCCGGGAGGCCCUCUGGCUCUGCCUCUCAUCCCGCUGUUGUUUCUCAGCCCAGCUCAGCUCCAGGUAGGGUCGCCAGUGCCUUUUGCGCUUCGAUGGCCGCCGACGGUGUUUCUUCCGGGCCAGCACAGCCUCCGCUGAGCAGCCCCCUGGGCUCUGGGUCCGGGGACUCCUACUGUUCCAGCCCAGGCCACCGACAGCCCCAGCAAGAUCUUCAUCCUCUGAGUGGCUCUCCAUCCGCGGUGUCAGGGGCAGGGAACCACCAGAGUCAUGACGCUCAGGGGGUGUUUGGGGGCUCCCCGGGGCACCAGAGGUCUAAAGAGAGGGAGGAGGAAGAAGGAUGGAUCAGACAGCCUGUCCUUGGAGGUGGAACCUUUCCCUCUCUACCUAGCCUGAAGCCUACCUUCCUACACUCAGCUAACUUGGUCACUCUUAGCCCCUCAACCUUUUGGAACCAUUUGUUUACAAAGAGACCUGUCUACUGUCUGUCCCCCAACCUUCCCCAAGUAAACUCAUGGUGAGAGCAGGAA